This 307-nucleotide ribosomal RNA is filed under the name uncultured bacterium. RNAcentral's name for it is "bacterial SSU rRNA". It matches the Rfam family "Bacterial small subunit ribosomal RNA", at positions 28 to 334 of the family's 1533-position model. The record is from RNAcentral.
GACGAACGCUGGCGGCGUGCCUAACACAUGCAAGUCGAGCGAUGAAGUUCCUUCGGGAACGGAUUAGCGGCGGACGGGUGAGUAUCACGUGGGCAACCUGCCUUAUAGAGGGGAAUAGCCUUCCGAAAGGAAGAUUAAUACCGCAUAAGAUUGUAGCUUCGCAUGAAGUAGCAAUUAAAGGAGCAAUCCACUAUAAGAUGGGCCCGCGGCGCAUUAGCUAGUUGGUGAGGUAACGGCUCACCAAGGCAACGAUGCGCAGCCGACCUGAGAGGGUGAUCGGCCACACUGGGACUGAGACACGGCCCAG